AAUAAACAUAAUUUUUGCUCGUCUAUCGAGACCUGCGACCUGAAAAACCGCCGUUGUUAAUCAACUACAAAAAC
Molecule: transfer RNA, 74 nt
Filed under: Nyctophilopython oenpelliensis (Oenpelli rock python)
Lineage: Eukaryota; Metazoa; Chordata; Lepidosauria; Squamata; Pythonidae
Description: Simalia oenpelliensis (Oenpelli rock python) tRNA-Gln
Source: RNAcentral